CCCGAAAGCUAUUUAGGUAGCGCCUCGUGAAUUCAUCUCCGGGGGUAGAGCACUGUUUCGGCUAGGGGGCCAUCCCGGCUUACCAACCCGAUGCAAACUGCGAAUACCGGAGAAUGUUAUCACGGGAGACACACGGCGGGUGCUAACGUCCGUCGUGAAGAGGGAAACAACCCAGACCGCCAGCUAAGGUCCCAAAGUCAUGGUUAAGUGGGAAACGAUGUGGGAAGGCCCAGACAGCCAGGAUGUUGGCUUAGAAGCAGCCAUCAUUUAAAGAAAGCGUAAUAGCUCACUGGUCGAGUCGGCCUGCGCGGAAGAUGUAACGGGGCUAAACCAUGCACCGAAGCUGCGGCAGCGACGCUUAUGCGUUGUUGGGUAGGGGAGCGUUCUGUAAGCCUGUGAAGGU
This 403-nucleotide ribosomal RNA is filed under the name Salmonella enterica subsp. enterica. RNAcentral's name for it is "partial 23S ribosomal RNA". It matches the Rfam family "Bacterial large subunit ribosomal RNA", at positions 858 to 1257 of the family's 2925-position model. The record is from RNAcentral. Lineage: Bacteria; Pseudomonadati; Pseudomonadota; Gammaproteobacteria; Enterobacterales; Enterobacteriaceae.